UUGUGUUCAAGCCGGAGGACGUCAGAGAGAAAACCAGAUAACAUUGAUCACUGAUAAAGUUGUGUGUCUGUACAGUGAUAAUAAAGUUGUGUUUGUACAGUGAUAAUAAAGUUGUGUGUUUGUACAGUGAUAAUAAAGUUGUGUUUGUACAGUGAUAAUAAAGUUUUGUGUUUGUACAGUGAUAAUAAAGUUGUGUUUGUACAGUGUUAAUAAAGUUGUGUUUGUACAGUGAUAAUAAAGUUGUGUGUUUGUACAGUGUUAAUAAAGUUGUGUUUGUACAGUGAUAAUAAAGUUGUGUGUUUGUACAGUGAUAAUAAAGUUUUGUGUUUGUACAGUGAUAAUAAAGUUGUGUGUCUGUACAGUGUUAAUAAAGUUGUGUGUCUGUACAGUAAU
Dicentrarchus labrax (European seabass) is the source of this 393-nucleotide long non-coding RNA. RefSeq lists it as uncharacterized. NCBI's taxonomy places the organism in Eukaryota, Metazoa, Chordata, Actinopteri, Moronidae. The transcript is spliced from 3 exons. The record is from RefSeq and is a predicted model, not a curated record.